GCAAACUUGGUCAUUUAGAGGAAGUAAAAGUCGUAACAAGGUUUCCGUAGGUGAACCUGCGGAAGGAUCAUUAACGAGCUUGAAGCGCCCCUUUGGUUGAGCUGGUCGCAAGGCAUGUGCUCGCCGAAGGGAAGCGUUCCUUCUCCCAAUCUCCCCUUUUUGUGCACCUUUGCGUGGGUUGGAAGGCCGUAAAAAGCUGGAAAGCCUACGAUCUCUAUCUACCUCCACCGUACGGUACUUAGAAUGUCAUGGCUUGCGAUAAGUCGCAAUCAACCUGUAACAACUUUCAGCAACGGAUCUCUUGGCUCUCGCAUCGAUGAAGAACGCAGC
RNAcentral lists this unclassified non-coding RNA (330 nucleotides) under uncultured fungus. RNAcentral's name for it is "partial contains small subunit ribosomal RNA, internal transcribed spacer 1, and 5.8S ribosomal RNA". The stretch from base 1 to 73 matches the Rfam family "Eukaryotic small subunit ribosomal RNA", at positions 1759 to 1831 of the family's 1831-position model. The record is from RNAcentral. Lineage: Eukaryota; Fungi.